RNAcentral lists this ribosomal RNA (502 nucleotides) under uncultured bacterium. RNAcentral's name for it is "partial 16S ribosomal RNA". It matches the Rfam family "Bacterial small subunit ribosomal RNA", at positions 30 to 523 of the family's 1533-position model. The record is from RNAcentral.
AUUGAACGCUGGCGGUAUGCUUAACAUAUGCAAGUCGAACGGCAGCACGGUAUGUAGCAAUACAUAUGGGUGGCAAGUGGCGGACGGGUGAGUAACGCGUAGGAAUCUGCCCUCAAGCGGGGGACAACCCGAGGAAACUCGGGCUAAUACCGCAUAACCUCGGAAGAGAAAAGCUGGGGUAACCUGGCACUUGAGGAGGAGCCUGCGUCUGAUUAGCUAGUUGGUAGGGUAAAGGCCUACCAAGGCGAUGAUCAGUAGCUGGUCUGAGAGGAUGACCAGCCACACGGGAACUGAGGCACGGUCCAGACUCCUACGGGAGGCAGCAGUGGGGAAUAUUGGACAAUGGGGGAAACCCUGAUCCAGCAAGACCGCGUGUGUGAAGAAGGCCUUCGGGUUGUAAAGCACUUUAGUUGGGGAGGAAGGUUAGCAGUUUAAGAGAUGGCUAAUUUGACUGUACCCAAAGAAUAAGCACCGGCUAACUCUGUGCCAGCCGCCGCAGUAA